RNAcentral lists this ribosomal RNA (493 nucleotides) under Pichia pseudolambica. RNAcentral's name for it is "partial large subunit ribosomal RNA". It matches the Rfam family "Eukaryotic large subunit ribosomal RNA", at positions 117 to 637 of the family's 3401-position model. Lineage: Eukaryota; Fungi; Ascomycota; Pichiomycetes; Pichiales; Pichiaceae. The record is from RNAcentral.
GGAAUCGUGUUUCGGCACGAGUUGUAAAUUGCAGGUUGGAGUCUUUGUGGAAGCGUGUGUCCAAGUCCCUUGGAACAGGGCGCCAUUGAGGGUGAGAGCCCCGUGGGAUGCGCGCGGAAGCAGCAAGGCCCUUCUGACGAGUCGAGUUGUUUGGGAAUGCAGCUCUAAGCGGGUGGUAAAUUCCAUCUAAGGCUAAAUACUGGCGAGAGACCGAUAGCGAACAAGUACUGUGAAGGAAAGAUGAAAAGCACUUUGAAAAGAGAGUGAAACAGCACGUGAAAUUGUUGAAAGGGAAGGGUAUUGGGCCCGACAUGGGGAUUGCGCAUCUCUGCUCCUUGUGGGCGGGGCGCUGUGCUUUUCCUGGGCCAGCAUCGGUUUUUGCCGCAGGAGAAGGGGUACUGGAAUGUGGCUCCUCGGAGUGUUAUAGCCAGUGCCAGAUGCUGCGUGCGGGGACCGAGGGCUGCGACAUCUGUCUCGGAUGCUGGCACAACGG